This 1106-nucleotide long non-coding RNA is filed under the name Coffea arabica (coffee). RNAcentral's name for it is "long non-coding RNA (CARA_LNC003032)". The record is from RNAcentral. Lineage: Eukaryota; Viridiplantae; Streptophyta; Magnoliopsida; Gentianales; Rubiaceae.
AUGGAUAUGUUGUAAAGAAUUUUCAUUUGAUUGUUUUGUAGUGCGAAAAUAUCUGGUCACCCGGUGCCUCGGAAUGCGAUAAAUAUAGGGAAGUGCUUGAUGGCUGUCUUAUGGCAGAAAGGCGUAAGUUGCCAUUUAUCGUACUCGUUCGACUUUCAACUUGUAGUCUUUUGAAAUAUGAAAUAGCUGCAAAUUUGUGAAUUUUUUUGUACACUCGCUCUCCCCCUUAUUGGUCAGACGUCUAUGUAUAGCUGUUAAUUUGUUCCUGAUUUUGUCUUAUCCUUUGCAUUCAUUCAUAUAUACUAGUGUUUGCUACUUGGUAGGAAGGAUUAAUCAAUCAUGGCUACAUUUACCUGAUGUAUUAUAGCUUGGUCUAUUCAAGUGAUACGCUGAACUAUCACAUUGGAGCUCUGCUCUUUUAGGACAUAUUAUUAUUAUUUGGAAUCCUAGAUAUUUAAAAGUACUUAGAGAUUUGUAUUAGUGCCAUCAGCAUGCAUUGUCCAUGCAGUAAAAUAUUUUCCUUGUUAAAUUCGUAGGUCUAAGCCCCCUCUCUCUGACCUUCCUUUGGUUUUGGAAAUUAAUUGAAUCAUCCUUGUUAAUGCUCUUUCCUGGACUAUGGUGAUUUUCUUGAGUGUAACCUGCGGCCAAGAUAUUGCAAAUUGCAAAUAACAAAGGAUCAAAUUGAAAAGGCAAAUGAAUUAAUUGACUUAAAAUUGUGAGAUCAACCUUUUCAAUAUGUUGAAAUAAGCAAUUUAUGCGCAAAUGGUACAAAGUAAACUGGAAAGACAAAUGAAAUUGACCUUGAAUUUUUUUAAUUUUUUUUUUGUUUUCGAAUGAGAGAUUUAACACAUUAUAUUAAUGAAGGUAAAUGCUUGAAUUUGUUCUCGUAUAUGUAGUGUACAUAAUAAGCGUGUCCUUUGCUUUCUUAUGUGUGUCUCUUGGUAUGAUUGAUUCUGUUUGUUUGAGCCUAGGAGGCACUGUUUGUUUUUCUCUGUUUGUUGUUUUUCCCCUAUGUUUUAGGUGAUAAGCGACAUUGAAGCCUCAUCAAUUUCAUCACUGUUUCGUAUAUUAUUUUGGAAUUCCUUGGUCUGGAGACUAGAUUGUCC